RNAcentral lists this ribosomal RNA (2904 nucleotides) under Escherichia coli. RNAcentral describes it as "23S ribosomal RNA". It matches the Rfam family "Bacterial large subunit ribosomal RNA". The record is from RNAcentral. Lineage: Bacteria; Pseudomonadati; Pseudomonadota; Gammaproteobacteria; Enterobacterales; Enterobacteriaceae.
GGUUAAGCGACUAAGCGUACACGGUGGAUGCCCUGGCAGUCAGAGGCGAUGAAGGACGUGCUAAUCUGCGAUAAGCGUCGGUAAGGUGAUAUGAACCGUUAUAACCGGCGAUUUCCGAAUGGGGAAACCCAGUGUGAUUCGUCACACUAUCAUUAACUGAAUCCAUAGGUUAAUGAGGCGAACCGGGGGAACUGAAACAUCUAAGUACCCCGAGGAAAAGAAAUCAACCGAGAUUCCCCCAGUAGCGGCGAGCGAACGGGGAGCAGCCCAGAGCCUGAAUCAGUGUGUGUGUUAGUGGAAGCGUCUGGAAAGGCGCGCGAUACAGGGUGACAGCCCCGUACACAAAAAUGCACAUACUGUGAGCUCGAUGAGUAGGGCGGGACACGUGGUAUCCUGUCUGAAUAUGGGGGGACCAUCCUCCAAGGCUAAAUACUCCUGACUGACCGAUAGUGAACCAGUACCGUGAGGGAAAGGCGAAAAGAACCCCGGCGAGGGGAGUGAAAAAGAACCUGAAACCGUGUACGUACAAGCAGUGGGAGCACGCUUAGGCGUGUGACUGCGUACCUUUUGUAUAAUGGGUCAGCGACUUAUAUUCUGUAGCAAGGUUAACCGAAUAGGGGAGCCGAAGGGAAACCGAGUCUUAACUGGGCGUUAAGUUGCAGGGUAUAGACCCGAAACCCGGUGAUCUAGCCAUGGGCAGGUUGAAGGUUGGGUAACACUAACUGGAGGACCGAACCGACUAAUGUUGAAAAAUUAGCGGAUGACUUGUGGCUGGGGGUGAAAGGCCAAUCAAACCGGGAGAUAGCUGGUUCUCCCCGAAAGCUAUUUAGGUAGCGCCUCGUGAAUUCAUCUCCGGGGGUAGAGCACUGUUUCGGCAAGGGGGUCAUCCCGACUUACCAACCCGAUGCAAACUGCGAAUACCGGAGAAUGUUAUCACGGGAGACACACGGCGGGUGCUAACGUCCGUCGUGAAGAGGGAAACAACCCAGACCGCCAGCUAAGGUCCCAAAGUCAUGGUUAAGUGGGAAACGAUGUGGGAAGGCCCAGACAGCCAGGAUGUUGGCUUAGAAGCAGCCAUCAUUUAAAGAAAGCGUAAUAGCUCACUGGUCGAGUCGGCCUGCGCGGAAGAUGUAACGGGGCUAAACCAUGCACCGAAGCUGCGGCAGCGACGCUUAUGCGUUGUUGGGUAGGGGAGCGUUCUGUAAGCCUGCGAAGGUGUGCUGUGAGGCAUGCUGGAGGUAUCAGAAGUGCGAAUGCUGACAUAAGUAACGAUAAAGCGGGUGAAAAGCCCGCUCGCCGGAAGACCAAGGGUUCCUGUCCAACGUUAAUCGGGGCAGGGUGAGUCGACCCCUAAGGCGAGGCCGAAAGGCGUAGUCGAUGGGAAACAGGUUAAUAUUCCUGUACUUGGUGUUACUGCGAAGGGGGGACGGAGAAGGCUAUGUUGGCCGGGCGACGGUUGUCCCGGUUUAAGCGUGUAGGCUGGUUUUCCAGGCAAAUCCGGAAAAUCAAGGCUGAGGCGUGAUGACGAGGCACUACGGUGCUGAAGCAACAAAUGCCCUGCUUCCAGGAAAAGCCUCUAAGCAUCAGGUAACAUCAAAUCGUACCCCAAACCGACACAGGUGGUCAGGUAGAGAAUACCAAGGCGCUUGAGAGAACUCGGGUGAAGGAACUAGGCAAAAUGGUGCCGUAACUUCGGGAGAAGGCACGCUGAUAUGUAGGUGAAGUCCCUCGCGGAUGGAGCUGAAAUCAGUCGAAGAUACCAGCUGGCUGCAACUGUUUAUUAAAAACACAGCACUGUGCAAACACGAAAGUGGACGUAUACGGUGUGACGCCUGCCCGGUGCCGGAAGGUUAAUUGAUGGGGUUAGCGCAAGCGAAGCUCUUGAUCGAAGCCCCGGUAAACGGCGGCCGUAACUAUAACGGUCCUAAGGUAGCGAAAUUCCUUGUCGGGUAAGUUCCGACCUGCACGAAUGGCGUAAUGAUGGCCAGGCUGUCUCCACCCGAGACUCAGUGAAAUUGAACUCGCUGUGAAGAUGCAGUGUACCCGCGGCAAGACGGAAAGACCCCGUGAACCUUUACUAUAGCUUGACACUGAACAUUGAGCCUUGAUGUGUAGGAUAGGUGGGAGGCUUUGAAGUGUGGACGCCAGUCUGCAUGGAGCCGACCUUGAAAUACCACCCUUUAAUGUUUGAUGUUCUAACGUUGACCCGUAAUCCGGGUUGCGGACAGUGUCUGGUGGGUAGUUUGACUGGGGCGGUCUCCUCCUAAAGAGUAACGGAGGAGCACGAAGGUUGGCUAAUCCUGGUCGGACAUCAGGAGGUUAGUGCAAUGGCAUAAGCCAGCUUGACUGCGAGCGUGACGGCGCGAGCAGGUGCGAAAGCAGGUCAUAGUGAUCCGGUGGUUCUGAAUGGAAGGGCCAUCGCUCAACGGAUAAAAGGUACUCCGGGGAUAACAGGCUGAUACCGCCCAAGAGUUCAUAUCGACGGCGGUGUUUGGCACCUCGAUGUCGGCUCAUCACAUCCUGGGGCUGAAGUAGGUCCCAAGGGUAUGGCUGUUCGCCAUUUAAAGUGGUACGCGAGCUGGGUUUAGAACGUCGUGAGACAGUUCGGUCCCUAUCUGCCGUGGGCGCUGGAGAACUGAGGGGGGCUGCUCCUAGUACGAGAGGACCGGAGUGGACGCAUCACUGGUGUUCGGGUUGUCAUGCCAAUGGCACUGCCCGGUAGCUAAAUGCGGAAGAGAUAAGUGCUGAAAGCAUCUAAGCACGAAACUUGCCCCGAGAUGAGUUCUCCCUGACUCCUUGAGAGUCCUGAAGGAACGUUGAAGACGACGACGUUGAUAGGCCGGGUGUGUAAGCGCAGCGAUGCGUUGAGCUAACCGGUACUAAUGAACCGUGAGGCUUAACCUU